CCAAUAGCGUAUAUUAAAGUUGUUGCAGUUAAAAAGCUCGUAGUUGAAUUUCGGGAUCAAUUUGCUGGUCGUGCCUUCGGUACGUACUGGUAUUAUUGGUUUCUCCUUUCUGAUGAAUCGCGAUGUCAUUAAUUUGGUGUCGUGGGGAAUCAGGACUGUUACUUUGAAAAAAUUAGAGUGUUUAAAGCAGGCUCACGCUU
This 200-nucleotide ribosomal RNA is filed under the name uncultured Glomus. RNAcentral describes it as "partial small subunit ribosomal RNA". It matches the Rfam family "Eukaryotic small subunit ribosomal RNA", at positions 591 to 796 of the family's 1831-position model. Lineage: Eukaryota; Fungi; Glomeromycota; Glomeromycetes; Glomerales; Glomeraceae. The record is from RNAcentral.